RNAcentral lists this ribosomal RNA (263 nucleotides) under uncultured prokaryote. RNAcentral describes it as "partial 16S ribosomal RNA". The record is from RNAcentral.
UCCAUCAACAUCAUAGCCAGAUGCCCAGAGAUUAGAGCGCAUGACAAGUAAAGGACGGUUGUCAGCGUCAUAAGAGGUUUUACCUCCAAAUGAAGAAAUAACAUCAUGGUAACGCUGCAUGAAGUAAUCACGUUCUUGGUCAGUAUGCAAAUUAGCAUAAGCAGCUUGCAGACCCAUAAUGUCAAUAGAUGUGGUAGAAGUCGUCAUUUGGCGAGAAAGCUCAGUCUCAGGAGGAAGCGGAGCAGUCCAAAUGUUUUUGAGAU